This 154-nucleotide ribosomal RNA is filed under the name Pittosporum arborescens. Its description in RNAcentral is "5.8S ribosomal RNA". The stretch from base 84 to 154 matches the Rfam family "5.8S ribosomal RNA", at positions 1 to 71 of the family's 154-position model. Lineage: Eukaryota; Viridiplantae; Streptophyta; Magnoliopsida; Apiales; Pittosporaceae. The record is from RNAcentral.
GGAACGCGUCAAGGAACUCAAACUGAAUUGAACGUCACCUCCCCCGUUUGCGGGCAGCGGUGGCGUCAUUCCAUAACAUAAACGACUCUCGGCAACGGWUAUCUCGGCUCUCGCAUCGAUGAARAACGUAGCGAAAUGCGAUACUUGGUGUGAA